UACGUAGGGGGCAAGCGUUGUCCGGAUUUAUUGGGCGUAAAGAGCGUGUAGGCGGCCAGGUAGGUCUGCUGUGAAAACUCGAGGCUUAACCUCGAGCUGUCGGCGGAAACCAUCUGGCUAGAGUCCGGAAGAGGAGAAUGGAAUUCCCGGUGUAGCGGUGAAAUGCGUAGAUAUCGUAAGGAAGACCAGUGGCGAAGGCGGGUCUCUGGACAGUUCCUGACGCUGAAGCACGAAGGCCAGGGGAGCAAACGGG
Molecule: ribosomal RNA, 253 nt
Filed under: uncultured bacterium
Lineage: Bacteria
Description: partial 16S ribosomal RNA
Rfam family: Bacterial small subunit ribosomal RNA
Source: RNAcentral